RNAcentral lists this ribosomal RNA (720 nucleotides) under uncultured bacterium. RNAcentral's name for it is "bacterial SSU rRNA". It matches the Rfam family "Bacterial small subunit ribosomal RNA", at positions 59 to 777 of the family's 1533-position model. The record is from RNAcentral.
CAGUCGAACGAAGCACCAUGGACAGAAUUUUUCGGAAGGACGACUAUGGCGACUUAGUGGCGGACGGGUGAGUAACGCGUGGGUAACCUGCCCUGUACUGGGGGACAACAGUUGGAAACGACUGCUAAUACCGCAUAAGCGCACAGCAUCGCAUGAUGCAGUGUGAAAAACUCCGGUGGUACAGGAUGGACCCGCGUCUGAUUAGCUAGUUGGUGAGGUAACGGCUUACCAAGGCAACGAUCAGUAGCCGACUUGAGAGAGUGAUCGGCCACAUUGGGACUGAGACACGGCCCAAACUCCUACGGGAGGCAGCAGUGGGGAAUAUUGCACAAUGGGGGAAACCCUGAUGCAGCGACGCCGCGUGAAGGAAGAAGUAUUUCGGUAUGUAAACUUCUAUCAGCAAGGAAGAAAAUGACGGUACUUGACUAAGAAGCCCCGGCUAAAUACGUGCCAGCAGCCGCGGUAAUACGUAUGGGGCAAGCGUUAUCCGGAUUUACUGGGUGUAAAGGGAGCGUAGGCGGUAAGACAAGUCAGAAGUGAAAGGCUGGGGCUCAACCCUGGGACUGCUUUUGAAACUGUCUAACUAGAGUGCAGGAGAGGUAAGUGGAAUUCCUAGUGUAGCGGUGAAAUGCGUAGAUAUUAGGAGGAACACCAGUGGCGAAGGCGGCUUACUGGACUGUAACUGACGCUGAGGCUCGAAAGCGUGGGGAGCAAACAGGA